Molecule: ribosomal RNA, 253 nt
Filed under: uncultured bacterium
Lineage: Bacteria
Description: partial 16S ribosomal RNA
Rfam family: Bacterial small subunit ribosomal RNA
Source: RNAcentral
UACGUAGGGGCCGAGCGUUGUCCGGAUUCAUUGGGCGUAAAGAGCGUGUAGGCGGCCGCUUAAGUCCUGCGUGAAAUCUCGGAGCUCAACUCCGAGCGGUCGUGGGAAACUGGGCGGCUAGAGUGCGGGAGAGGAGAGUGGAAUUCCUGGUGUAGCGGUGGAAUGCGCAGAUAUCAGGAAGAACACCCGUGGCGAAAGCGGCUCUCUGGAACGGUACUGACGCUGAGACGCGAAAGCGUGGGGAGCGAACAGG